Molecule: ribosomal RNA, 326 nt
Filed under: uncultured eukaryote
Lineage: Eukaryota
Description: partial 18S ribosomal RNA
Rfam family: Eukaryotic small subunit ribosomal RNA
Source: RNAcentral
CCCUUAGAUGUUCUGGGCCGCACGCGCGCUACACUGAUGCAUUCAACGAGCCUAGCCUUGACCGAGAGGUCCGGGUAAUCUUUGAAACUGCAUCGUGAUGGGGCUAGAUUAUUGCAAUUAUUAAUCUUCAACGAGGAAUGCCUAGUAAGCGUGAUUCAUCAAAUCGCGUUGAUUACGUCCCUGCCCUUUGUACACACCGCUCGUCGCUCCUACCGAUUGAGUGUGUUGGUGAGGAGUUUGGAUUGGCCUCGGAAGGUGGUUCGCCACCGUCCGUAGCUGAGAAGUUCUCCAAACCGCCCCACUUAGAGGAAGGAGAAGUCGUAACA